RNAcentral lists this ribosomal RNA (460 nucleotides) under uncultured bacterium. RNAcentral describes it as "partial 16S ribosomal RNA". It matches the Rfam family "Bacterial small subunit ribosomal RNA", at positions 338 to 795 of the family's 1533-position model. The record is from RNAcentral.
CCUACGGGGGGCAGCAGUGAGGAAUAUUGGUCAAUGGGCUUACGCCUGAACCAGCCAAGUCGCGUGAGGGAAGACUGCCCUAUGGGUUGUAAACCUCUUUUGUCAGGGAGCAACGCCGGCUACGUGUAGCCGGACUGAGAGUACCUGAAGAAAAAGCAUCGGCUAACUCCGUGCCAGCAGCCGCGGUAAUACGGAGGAUGCGAGCGUUAUCCGGAUUUAUUGGGUUUAAAGGGUGCGUAGGCGGAAUGCCAAGUCAGCGGUAAAAUGGCGGGGCUCAACCUCGCUCCGCCGUUGAAACUGGCGGUCUUGAGUGGGCGAGAAGUAUGCGGAAUGCGUGGUGUAGCGGUGAAAUGCAUAGAUAUCGCGCAGAACUCCGAUUGCGAAGGCAGCAUACCGGCGCCCAACUGACGCUGAGGCACGAAAGCGUGGGUAUCGAACAGGAUUAGAUACCCCUGUAGUC